AGCGUAGGUGGCUUGAUAAGUCAGAUGUGAAAUCCCCGGGCUUAACCUGGGAACUGCAUCUGAUACUGUUGAGCUAGAGUAUGUGAGAGGAAGGUAGAAUUCCAGGUGUAGCGGUGAAAUGCGUAGAGAUCUGGAGGAAUACCGAUGGCGAAGGCAGCCUUCUGGCAUAAUACUGACACUGAGGCUCGAAAGCGUGGGUAGCAAACA
RNAcentral lists this ribosomal RNA (207 nucleotides) under uncultured bacterium. Its description in RNAcentral is "partial 16S ribosomal RNA". It matches the Rfam family "Bacterial small subunit ribosomal RNA", at positions 568 to 774 of the family's 1533-position model. The record is from RNAcentral.